AAUUUACUAAGUGAAGAGUUUGAUACUGGCUCAGAUUGAACGCUGGCGGAAUGCUUAACACAUGCAAGUCGUGCGGUAACACUUCGGGUGACGAGCGGCGGACGGGUGCGUAACGCGUAAGAAUCUACCUUUUAGCGGGGGACAACCCG
Molecule: ribosomal RNA, 149 nt
Filed under: Gammaproteobacteria bacterium
Lineage: Bacteria; Pseudomonadati; Pseudomonadota; Gammaproteobacteria
Description: partial 16S ribosomal RNA
Rfam family: Bacterial small subunit ribosomal RNA
Source: RNAcentral